UGAACGCUAGCGACAGGCUUAACACAUAGCAAGUCGAGGGGUAACAGGGUAGCAAUACCGCUGACGACCGGCGCACGGGUGAGUAACGCGUAUGCAACCUGCCUAUAACUGGGGAAUAGCUCCCUGAAAGGGGAAUUAACACCGCAUAACACUAUUGAUUCGCAUGGAUUGGUAGUUAAAUGUAGCGAUACAGGUUAUAGAUGGGCAUGCGUGACAUUAGCUAGUUGGUGAGGUAACGGCUCACCAAGGCUACGAUGUCUAGGGGUUCUGAGAGGAAGGUCCCCCACACUGGUACUGAGACACGGACCAGACUCCUACGGGAGGCAGCAGUGAGGAAUAUUGGUCAAUGGGCGCAAGCCUGAACCAGCCAUGUCGCGUGCAGGAAGACUGCCCUAUGGGUUGUAAACUGCUUUUAUAGUAGAAGAAACACAUCUACGCGUAGAUGUCUGCCAGUAUACUAUGAAUAAGCAUCGGCUAACUCCGUGCCAGCCGCAGC
Molecule: ribosomal RNA, 496 nt
Filed under: uncultured bacterium
Lineage: Bacteria
Description: bacterial SSU rRNA
Rfam family: Bacterial small subunit ribosomal RNA
Source: RNAcentral